CACGUAGGGUGCGAGCGUUGUCCGGAAUUAUUGGGCGUAAAGAGCUCGUAGGCGGUGUGUCGCGUCGGCCGUGAAAACCUGCAGCUUAACUGUGGGCUUGCGGUCGAUACGGGCAUCACUGGAGUUCGGCAGGGGAGACUGGAAUUCCUGGUGUAGCGGUGAAAUGCGCAGAUAUCGGGAGGAACACCGGUGGCGAAGGCGGUUCUCUGGGCCUUACCUGACGCUGAGGAGCGAAAGCGUGGGGAGCGAACAGG
This 254-nucleotide ribosomal RNA is filed under the name uncultured bacterium. Its description in RNAcentral is "partial 16S ribosomal RNA". It matches the Rfam family "Bacterial small subunit ribosomal RNA", at positions 524 to 776 of the family's 1533-position model. The record is from RNAcentral.